This 915-nucleotide ribosomal RNA is filed under the name uncultured archaeon. RNAcentral's name for it is "bacterial SSU rRNA". It matches the Rfam family "Archaeal small subunit ribosomal RNA", at positions 1 to 922 of the family's 1478-position model. The record is from RNAcentral.
UUCCGGUUGAUCCUGCCGGAGGCUACCGCUAUUGGAGUUCGAUUAAGCCAUGCGAGUCGAGAGUCUUAGGGACUCGGCGCACCGCUCAGUAACACGUGGGUAACCUGCCCUAUGCUGGGGAAUAACCUCGGGAAACUGAGAAUAAUGCCCCAUAGCCCACUACGCCUGGAACGGUGAGUGGGUCAAAGCUCCGGCGGCAUAGGAUGGGCCUGCGCCGUAUCAGGUUGUAGGGGGUGUAAAGUACCCUCUAGCCAUCAACGCGUACGGGUGUUGGGAGACAUUGCCCGGAGAUGGAUUCUGAGACACGAAUCCAGACCCUACGGGGUGCAGCAGGCGCGAAAACUUGGCAAUGCGAGAAAUCGUGACCAGGGAACUCCAAGUGCGUAGGGUAAGACCUACGCUUUUCUUGACUCUUCAAAGGUCUUGGAAUAAGGGGUGGGUAAGGACGGUGCCAGCCGCCGCGGUAAUACCGGCGCCUCAAGUGGUAGUCGCUUUUAUUGGGCCUAAAACGUCCGUAGCCGGUCUGGUGCAUUCGUGGGUAAAUCAACCCGCUCAACGGGUUGAAUUCUGCGAGCACGGCCAGACUUGGGACCGGGAGAGGUGUGGGGUACUCUCAGGGUAGGGGUAAAAUCCUGUCAUCCUGAGAGGACCACCUGUUGCGAAGGCGCCACACUAGAACGGAUCCGACGGUCAGGGACGAAACCUAGGGGCACGAACCGGAUUAGAUACCCGGGUAGUCCUAGGUGUAAACGCUGUGGACUUGAUGUUGGGGGCGCUCCGAGCGCUUUCAGUGUCGAAGCGAAGGUGAUAAGUCCACUGCCUGGGGAGUACGGUCGCAAGGCUGAAACUUAAAGGAAUUGGCGGGGGGGCACUGCAACCUGAGGAUUGUGCGGUUUAAUUGGAUUCAACGCCGGA